GGGUGGUAAUGCCGGAUGCUCCAGUUGACCGCAUGGUCCUCUGGGAAAGCUUUUGCGGUAUGGGAUGGGGUCGCGUCCUAUCAGCUUGAUGGCGGGGUAACGGCCCACCAUGGCUUCGACGGGUAGCCGGCCUGAGAGGGCGACCGGCCACAUUGGGACUGAGAUACGGCCCAGACUCCUACGGGAGGCAGCAGUGGGGAAUAUUGCACAAUGGGCGCAAGCCUGAUGCAGCGACGCCGCGUGCGGGAUGACGGCCUUCGGGUUGUAAACCGCUUUUGACUGGGAGCAAGCCCUUCGGGGUGAGUGUACCUUUCGAAUAAGCACCGGCUAACUACGUGCCAGCAGCCGCGGUAAUACGUAGGGUGCAAGCGUUAUCCGGAAUUAUUGGGCGUAAAGGGCUCGUAGGCGGUUCGUCGCGUCCGGUGUGAAAGUCCAUCGCUUAACGGUGGAUCCGCGCCGGGUACGGGCGGGCUUGAGUGCGGUAGGGGAGACUGGAAUUCCCGGUGUAACGGUGGAAUGUGUAGAUAUCG
Molecule: ribosomal RNA, 530 nt
Filed under: Bifidobacterium adolescentis
Lineage: Bacteria; Bacillati; Actinomycetota; Actinomycetes; Bifidobacteriales; Bifidobacteriaceae
Description: partial 16S ribosomal RNA
Rfam family: Bacterial small subunit ribosomal RNA
Source: RNAcentral